This is a non-coding RNA of Ictalurus furcatus (blue catfish), 428 nucleotides long. The record is from the annotation of a RefSeq genome assembly. Lineage: Eukaryota; Metazoa; Chordata; Actinopteri; Siluriformes; Ictaluridae.
CUAAGACCAUUCAUCAUGUUCACUGUUAUAUUCAUGUGCUUGUGGUUUUCACUAGGUGACUCCAUGGCAGAUUCAGUAGAGCCACUUGACACUCAUAAAGCUGUAGAUGAAGGUGAUAAUCUUACUCUGUCCUGCAGCUACAACAAAUUCACUGGUGUAGUAACCACCCUGCAAUGGUACAGGCAAUAUCCAAAAUCAAAACCUGAGUUCCUUCUUCAAAUUUUACCAAGUGAACGUAAAAGUAACACUGGCCCACCACGUCUGUCUGCUGAAGUUGAUCAAAAUAAUAAAGUGGAUCUGCUCAUCUCCUCUGCUGCUGUAUCAGACUCUGCACUAUACUACUGUGCUCUGCAGCCCACAGUGACAGGAAAUCCACCUGCACUGUACAAAAACCUCGACCCAGUUAUGUUUGACUGAACAACUGAUCA